Molecule: long non-coding RNA, 1525 nt
Organism: Hemicordylus capensis (graceful crag lizard)
Lineage: Eukaryota; Metazoa; Chordata; Lepidosauria; Squamata; Cordylidae
Exons: 3
Source: RefSeq, a predicted model, not a curated record
UUUCACUUUUUCACACUUUCCUUUACUAUGAAUAAUAUGAGGAAGUAAUCAAUUUAGCACACUUCACCUUAUGAAGACAAACCUCAUAAAAAUAAAUUCACCAAAAUUCACCCCCUGCCCAAUCACUCUUAAAUUGGGCAUGGGUGGUAGCCUCCACCCAUUAGACACUAUCUACCAGCCCACCCCACUCCUUUGGGGCAGAUCCACUUUCUGCCCCCAAUCUGCCCCAAAGACACCCAAACUUCAAAAAUUCUCAAAAAAUCAGCCCUCUGCCCAAUCCCCCUGAAAUUGGGGUGGUAGCCUCCACCCAUUAGGCACUACCACCCCACCCCACUCUUUUGGGGCAGAUCCACUUUCUGCCCCCAAACUGCCCCAAAGUCACUAAAACUUCAAAAAUUCUAAAAAAAUCACCCCUUUGUCCAAACCCCCUGAAAUUGGGGUGGUAGCCUCCACCCAUUAGGCACUACCAGCCCACCCCACUAUUCUGCCCCAGGCCCCACUUUCUGCCCCAAUAUGCCCCAAAGACAUGAAAAUUUCAGAAAUUUACCAAAAAUCAGCCAUUUGCCCAAUCCCCCUGAAAUUGGGGUGGUAGCCUGCACCCAUUAGGCACUACCACCCCACCCCACUCCUUUUGCCCAGAUCCCAUGCUAUGCCCCCGAACUGCCUCAAAGUCACUAAAGCUUUAAAAAUUCACCAAAAAUCAGGACUUUGCCCAAUCCCCCUGAAAUUGGGGUGGUAGACUCUACCCAUUGGGCACUACCACCCCACCCCACAAUUUUGCCCCUGGGCCCCUUUUUACCCCCCUGAAUCGAUUCAGAUUUGGAUUCGGAUUAAAUCCGAAUCCGAACCGAAUCAAGGGUGAUUCGGGUGACCCAGAUUCGGGCACAAAACAGAACAGGGGUGAUUUGGUUCAGGUCCGAGCCAAAUCACCCAAAAACCCAAAUUGCACACCCCUACUGGAGAGUAGCAAAUGUAACACCAAUUUUCAAAAAGGGAUCCAGGGGCGAUCCAGGAAAUUACAGGCCAGUUAGCCUAAUAUCCGUUCCAGGCAAAUUGAUGGCAAAUUGAUGGAAAGCAUCCUCAAGGAGAAAAUUGUAAAGCACCUAGAAGAACAGGCCCUGCUCGGAGUGAGCCAGCAUGGCUUCCGCAAAGACCAGUUGGCCAGAGAUAAUCUUGGCACAGCAGAGGAGCAUGUGUGAACUUGGAGACAAAUGGAAAAUGGACAAGGUUGAUGGGAGCAACCUUCAACAUGGGAACCUGGUUGAUCCUGUCAUCUGCAUUGGCUAUGCAGGAAGGAAAGGUUUCAACAUCAAUCGGAUGACUUGCUGGUGAAAUUUUUACUUGAAGAUAAUGCACUCUGCAUCUCUCAUGUUGCAGCAAAGUUUUGUUACAUCGCAAUUAGAAUUCGUAGUUCAUUGAUUGAUGCUAAAGUUAAUGAUUAAGUUAAUGUUGAAUGCUGGAAUAAUGUUUAUUGUUUGUGUUGUUGUUUUGUUUUGGCCAUUGGCCAUAAAUAAAGUAUCUUCUU